AAUUUACGUGUCAUUAUGACCGUUUCUUUAUCAUAGUUAAUUAUGGACACAUAAAAUAACAUGAGAACUUUUCGUAAUUUCAUAUUAAAACGAUAAGUGAGGAUCUUUAUUUUCGUAAAAUUUUAAAUUGAAUAUUUUAAAACACCUGCUAGCAUGAGUAUGUAUAUAAUUUUGAUCAGGAUUAAUUCGCUCAUGAUUUAAUAUUCUUGAGAGGUGUGCUGUGCCGCUCAUGGCAAUUAUUGCCGUUGGCUGUGACCACGGAUCAGAAUCAUGUGUUGGCAAUUCUUUGGACCUUUCAUGUUAGCUUUUGACGUGUAGUGAAUCUUAUAUGUUUAUUGGUUUCCGUGCUUUGCUUAAUGAUUGUUGGUCAUGCUCUCCCAGUUGUCGAACUUGCUUUUUUUCAAUUUUUUAUUUUCUCACAAGUCUUAACAGAUAAUCCACAAGUUUAGUCCAAUAAUUGGUCAUAUCAGCCACUAUUGACCACGAGUAAUUAGAUUAACGAAUAAUUAAAUAUUAGGUUAUUAUCAUUUUAUUACUUUAAAAAUUAUUAAAUAUUAAAUGAUUAUAACAAAUAUUGUCUCUUAUAUUUUUUUAUUAUAUCUUUAUAAAAAUAUCAUUUUACUACUUUUCUGUUACAAUAAAUAUCAUUUUACUACUUUUUCAUUACAACCGUUAGUUGACCAGUUAGUUAACUAACAAAAUACUAAUUUUACCCUUUAUGAUUAAAACGAAAGCUUCAUUAAAAAAAUAAUAAGACAAAUUUAUUUUGUAAAUAAGCUUCAUUUUCAUAAUUCUAACAAAAAGAAUUAUGUUGGUAUUUUAUAUCCAUUUUAAUAAAUAUAUUACAAAUUUAUUUUGUAAUUAAGUUUCAAGUAAUUUUUUUAAUCAUAAAGGGUGAAAUUGAUAUUUUGUUAGUCAAUUAACUGAUCAACUAACGGUUAUAACGGAAAAGUAGUAAAAUGAUAUUUUUAUAAAGAUAUAGUAAGAAAAUGAUAGGAGAUAAUACUUGUUGUAGUCAUUUAAUAUUUGGUAAUUUUUGAAGUAGUAAAAUGAUAAUAACUCUUGAAUAUUUUUUAGCGACAUCAAACCCAAUCAAUAAUUAUACAAUUUCUUGGAAAAUCAUAUUGAAAUCAUUCAAGUUGGGUGAUUGUAUGAGUUCUUUAAUGCAAUUCUCAUAUUGAUAUACUAAAUCGAAUAAUUUGCUGUGGGAUUUAAUACAUCUUGAGGCUGGAUUGCUUGGGUAGAAGUUCACUGAUCACUUUGAAAAGUUUGAUGAGUACUUUCAUGCAGCAAAGUUCAGAGUUUUGCAAUUUUGAGGGCCAAAUUUGCUUGGAUUAUUUAUAAUCCUUCUAUUAAUGAACAAAUAUUCUUCUCUAAUUUCCAAUAUGUUUUAUGUCUCAUUUGAUGAGGGGAUAGCCCUUUAUAGAUGCCCUUUUCGUCUUUUUAAACUUAUUUUUCAGUCAAGUGAAAAAAAAAAAAAAGAGUUUUGCCAAAGACAAAGUCAAGCUUCCACCAAACUACAAACCGCUAAAACAAACAUAACUCAAACUUAGAUUGAAAAAUACAUUUAAGAAUGCGGCCAUCCAGGUCUAGGUUUUGGCAUCAUUAUUUGGGUCUAAAGAGACCAGCAGAACACAAGGAUGCUCACCUUCAAAUUUUGAAAUCCUUUCAUGGGAUAUUGUCAUAUUCAUGAAGCCAAAACAUUUCUUAGUUUCUCAGCUCUGAAAUGGAAAUUUCUUUGAGAGCUUUUUGCAUUAGUGUCUUUGCCACAAGAAGUUCCUGAGAAAUGCUACUUAAAUUCUGGAGGAUUGCUUAGUAUUACAAGCAGAGUGAACAAGACAAAGUAUUCCUUCUUAUUAUUUCUUGCUUGACUGUUGUAUUACAGAGCAAUUGUAGUAUAUAUAGAGACAAGAAAACAAUGACAGCUAAUAAAGAAUAUUACACGGAAAAACCAAUUUGUCAGACUGCCAAUCAUGAGCCAAUCAUUUUAGAAUUCUAGAAUCUUCAGCUGCUCCAUGCUUAUGUGCUGAUAUUCUUCAGCACAGCUGUUCUGCCAGCUCAAUAAUCCUGACUCAUCUUCCAUGUCAGCUGGCUGUAGAUUACAGAAGCUUAGGUGGCAUGCCAGCUUGGAUUCAAGGUCAAUCUUUGACUCUUCACAACUGCUGUUUUCAACACCCUCUCUCAAACUCAAGGCCUUGUCAAUGACUUUGAGUUUGCUUCUAAAACAGCUAAACUUGUGGUGUGGUAAUGGCUUGGUCAGUACAUCUGCAAUCUGAUCAUUGCUGCCAAUAUAGUUUAUUUCCAAUUCACCCUUUGUAACUUUGUCUCUGAGGAAAUGAAGGUCUAUCUCAAAAUGUUUUGUUCUGGAGUGAUAGACUGGGUUUGCUGCUAUGGCUGCUGCACUGGUGCUGUCACUUAGGAUAAUUGGUAUAUUUUCAAUCUCCAUCUUCAACUCACCAAGUAGAGAAUUAAUCCAUGUGAUUUCAGUGCUGCAUAGAGCCAUUGCUCUAUAUUCUGAUUCAGCUGUUGACCUUGCUACUAUGCCUUGUUUUCUCGAGCUCCAAGCAACCAGAUUAUCUCCCAAGUACACACAGUAUCCACUUAUGGAUCUUCUGUCAUCUGGAUCAGUUGCCCAAUCUGCAUCCGUAUAGGCAAUGAGAUCCAGAUGUUCAGAUUUUCUGAAACUUAAACACAUAUUCAUUGUGUUUUUGAGGUAUCGCAGCACUCUUUUGCAUGCCACCCAAUGUGGUUGUCUAGGAUCAGACGUGAACUGACUGAGCUUGUUAACUGAGAAAGCAAGCUCUGGCCUGGUCAAUACUGCAUAUUGCAGGCUUCCUAUGAUGCUUCUAUAGAGUGUGGGAUCGUGGAACCUGUUCCCAACAUCUUUUUUCAAUUUCUCAGAAGUGCUAAAGGGUGUCUCUAUUCCUUUACAGUCUAUCAUUUCUGUUUUGGCCAGCAAGUCUUGAAUAUAUUUUGCUUGAGAGAGUAGGAUAGAGUUUUGAUUCCUUAGAACUUGUAUCCCAAGAAAGAAAUUUAGAUUUCCAAGAUCCUUCAAAGCAAAGGAUGUGUUCAGAUCUUUAAUGACUUCCUCAAUGCCUUGACUGUCACUUCCAGUGAUUAUGAUGUCAUCUACAUAUAUGAGCAUGAUGACUAUCUUUGAUUCAACUCUUCUGAAAAACAGAGAUGUGUCACUCCUGGAAUUUUUGAAUCCCCAAGAACUCAAGGCACCUUUUAGUUUAUCAAACCAUGCUCUCGGAGCUUGCCUCAAUCCAUACAAAGCCUUUUCCAGUUUGCAAAUGUAGCUUGGUCUGUUCUUGUCUGCAAAACCCUCGGGCUGUGGCAUGUAUACUGCCUCUGUCAGGUCACCAUUCAAGAAGGCAUUGUUUAUGUCCACUUGCCUAAGCAACCAAUCAUUGCUACUGCCAUGGUUAGGAUGAUUCUAAUAGUUGCAGCCUUAAUAACAGGGCUGAAGGUUUCAUUGAAAUCAAGUCCUGGAGUUUGCAAGAAUCCCUUUGCAACUAAUCUGGCCUUGUACUUGUUGAUGCUGCCAUCUGAGUUUUCCUUUACUUUGUAGAUCCACUUAUUUCCAAUCAAUUUGCAAUUUUGGUUGUUUGGUAUCAAGGUCCAGGUUUUGUUUUUCAUCAAUGCAUGAUACUCAUCCUCCAUUGCCUUUUUCCACUUGGGAUCCUUCAAAGCAUCAAAGGUGUUUUUGGGAAGAGAUGGUUGUGUUUUACUGGAAACCUGGUACAGCUUUGGUUUGAAGAUGCCAGCCUUGGAUCUUGUCACCAUGGGGUGUGAAAGUAAGGCCUUUUGUGUGGGAAGGUCUUGGUUGUUUAUUUCUGUAAUGUGAGGUGGACUGUGAGUUGAAAGGCUACCUGAUAUUGUGUCAGUAUCAUUUACCUGUUGCAUUUCAUUCUGGACUGGACUUGGGAUACAUUCUGUGUUUCCAGUAGUGUCUGGAGAGUUGCUAUGAGCUGAUACUACUUGUGUGAGACCAUGGGGACUGUUGACAGAAAAUGACACAACCUGAAAUUUUUCAAGUAAGACAACUUCAUCACCUUCCUUUACUGACUCUUGUUUCCUAAAGCUAGAAUCAUUUUCGAAGGGAAAGGAUUUUUCAUUGAAUUUGACACAAGCUGAGAUAUAGAUUCUUCCUGAAUUGUUCAUACAAACAUAACCUUUGUGAGCACUGCUCAUCCCUAAUAGGAUGCAUUUGGAAGUGUGAAAAUCAAGUUUGUGUCUGUUGUAUGGUCUAAGAAAUGGAAAACACUCACAUCCAAAGAUUUUAAUUUGUGUAUAAUCUGGUUUGAAAGAAUACAAUAACUCAAAUGGUGUCUUGUUCUUUAGCACAGGUGAGACAAGUCUGUUGAUAAUGAAGGUAGCAUAGCUGAAGGCUUCUUGCCAGAAUUUUAAAGACAUUUUGGCUUGGGCAAGUAAGGCAAGUCCAGUCUCCACAAUGUGUCUGUGUUUUCUCUCAACCUUGCCAUUUUGUUCAUGUAAGUAUGGACAUGAAUGCCUUAGAGUUAUUCCCUCUCUUUUCAAAUAUGGCUCAAAGGCUUUGAACUCUCCUCCUAUGUCUGUUUGUAGUGCUUUGAUUGUUAGGUUCAAUUGUUUUUCGAUCUGAUUUUUAAAGGUAAUGAAGGUUUCAAGAGCUUGAGACUUGGUUGCUAAAGGGAAAAGCCAUGUGUAUCUUGUUCUAUCAUCAACAAAAGAGAUGUAAUAUCUAUGUCCAUGAGUGGAUAGAAUUGGAGCUGGUCCCCAAAGGUCUGUGUGAAUCAGUUCAAGGGCUGUCUUAGUUUUGGUUUCAGUGCUUUUGAAUGAUUGUUUUGAUUGCUUUCCAUAUUGGCAUGCAGAGCAAAAUGAAGGAACAAUAUCUUUAUUAAUUUUGAGCUGAUUACAAGAUAGCAAGGUGUUUUUCAGAACUGAAGUACUAGGGUGUCCUAGUCUGGAAUGCCACACAUCAGCUUCUUCAACAGCUUGCAGAUUGUUGCUACUUGACUCAUCAGCUAUAUUUGACUCGACACUAACAUUGACUGACUCAUUACUUGAAUUGAAAGACAACAUGGACACUGGACAACUACUAUUAUUUAAUGACUCUGAAUUUGACAGAAUAGAAGAAAAAACAGCAUGUGGAUUUUUGUUCCUGCUCAGGAUGGCAGGUAAGUGCAUCAGCUCAUAUAGUCCAUCUCUAGCCACUCCUUUCACCAGAAUUUUCCCUUGUCUCUUGUCCUUAAUAAAACAAACAGAUUUUUGAAACUCAACAUCAACAUCAUUGUCAUGCAGCAGUUUAGAAAUGCUAAUGAGGUUUUUGGUUAUGUUAGGCACAUAUAAUAUAUCAGUCAAGGUAAUGUGCUUGUGUGGAUCAUAUGUGGGCAAAGCAGAAUAACCAAUGUGACUAAUCAAAAGCUUUUCACCAUUACCAACAGCUAGCUUGUUUUUACCUUGGUAUUCAGAGUUGAUGCUGAGAUUUCCAAGAGAGUUAGUCACAUGGUUGGUAGCACCACUGUCAAGGUACCAAGCUCCACUGCUUUGACCUUCAGCUGCAGCAACAUAAGCACCCCUCUGCUCUCUUCUUCUGUUUGGCUGAGGUACAAAGUUCUUCUUGAAUCUGUGCCAACACUCAGCUGCUGUGUGCCCCAUUUUCCAGCAGAUUUGACAUGGCCCUUUUGGAUCAGAACCACUGUCAUCAGCCACUGCUUUUCCUUUUCCUUUGUCUUGAGGAUUCUGAUUGGUUUGGUUGUUUGUGGUGUUGUUUCCAGGAUUUCUGAAGACAAUUCCAGGCAGCUACUGAUGGGCAGUCCUUUCACUGUUGUUCCAGUUCCUUCUUCCAUUCCUCAUUUGAGUAUAGUUUGCUUCAAUGUUCCAUGAGCUCAGGUUUUGCUCAGUUCUGUUUUCUUGACUCAAGAGCAUACCAUAUACUUCCGAGAUAGAGGGACUCUCCUGCAUUGAGUUGAUGUUGGUAACUACUGAGUCAUAUUCUGGCCCCAAACCAGCAAGCACACACAUGAUGAAAUCAUCAUCAUUCAUGCUAUUCCCUGCAGCUCUGAGUGAGUUCAGUAAAGUUUUCAUUUUUUAGUAGUAUUCAUGAAUGGUAAAUGAACCCUUUUUAGUAGUUUGAAUUUGAGUUCUGAGAUAUAGGACUCUUGCCCUUGUUCUAGCACCAAAAUUGGUUGGCUAGAGUUGUCCACACCUCACAGGAGGUGGAACAAUCUACCACUGUGCCUAAGACUCCUUCACUUAGAGAAGAGAGUAACCAACUAAGUAGGAUAUGAUCCUGUUUCCUCCAAAUCUGGUAUUCAGGGUUAGGUGUGGUUAUGGUGGAUAGAUUUGGUCCAGGACUCAUGAAAACCUUAGGAGGGCAAACAUGGCUGCCAUCAACAAACCCCUCAAGCUCAUUUGCUCUAAUGCUAGAAAUCACUUGUGAUUUCCAAAGCAUAAAGUUGCUUUGAGUUAGUUUGAUUGGAGUAGUAAAGACAUAGGUGUUGCUAGUGAUAUGCUGGGUUGGUGAUGCACUUAUUUGUGCUGUGUUUCUGGUGUUAAGGCCUGGAUUUUGUGGCUCAGUGUUUUGAUUCAAAUCGUCUGGUUGAUCACUUGAAUCAACCUGUGUUGGAUUAACAUUUGUUUCAUUGUCACUGCUGCUUGCUAUAGCUAAAGGAAUAGCUCUGAUACCAACUUAAAUUCUGGAGGAUUGCUUAGUAUUACAAGCAGAGUGAACAAGACAAAGUAUUCAUUCUUAUUAUUUCUUGCUUGACUGCUGUAUUACAGAGCAAUUGUAGUAUAUAUAGAGACAAGAAAACAAUGACAGCUAAUAAAGAAUAUUACACGGAAAAACCAAUUUGUCAGACUGCCAAUCAUGAGCCAAUCAUUUUAGAAUUCUAGAAUCUUCAGCUGCUCCAUGCUUAUGUGCUGAUAUUCUUCAGCACAGCUGUUCUGCCAGCUCAAUAAUCCUGACUCAUCUUCCAUGUCAGCUGGCUGUAGAUUACAGAAGCUUAGGUGGCAUGCCAGCUUGGAUUCAAGGUCAAUCUUUGACUCUUCACAACUGCUGUUUUCAACAAUGCCUUGCAUUGUGGGUCGAGAUUUCGGUUGAGAACGCACGCAAGCAAAUGCUAUUGUUGAAACAAGAAUAAUAUUUUGAACGAUCUUUUGAUUCACUGGUGGCAAGAGACGUUGGUCUAAAAUAUCGAUCAACAUGAUUUUUGGAUCCAAUGAUGAUGAUGAUAAUGAUGAGAGGAGUUCUCCUGGAUGUGUUCCCAUCAAUAUUUCGAGUGCCACUACCCCAAAACUAUAAACAUCACAUUUCUCUGUCACAACCAUAGUGUAGGCAAGUUCUACAUGAAAAGAAAAGGUGUACGAUUAUGUCUUUGAAAGUAAAACCAUAGAGCGUAAAAAGAAAUACAACCAAUUACUUUAUUCACUUGGGGCAAUAUAUCCGUAAGUGCCCGCUCGUAGGGUUCUAUUUGAUGAAUCAACAUGUAGAAGUCUAGCAGUGCCAAAAUCUGCAACAAAUGCCUCCAAAUUUGAGUAGAGUAUAAUGUUGUUGCUUGAUAUGUCGCGGUGAACAAUUGACAGAGUGCAGUCGUGAUGCAGGUACGACAAAGCAUGAGCCACACUCUUCACGAUGUUCACUCUUUUAGUCCAAUUCAACUCAAUAGCUUCGUCAUCAUGGCGUAAAACACAGAACAAGCUUUCUCUUUCCAUGUACUCAUAAAUCAAAAACAUGCAUUUUUUGUGCAAACAAAAACCAUAAAGUUUCACAAUGUUCCGAUGUCGUACAGUGGAGAGUACAUGAGCGUCGUUUUGGAAACUCUUGACAAAAGCUGAAUCCUCUGUUUCAGAAUGGUGAAGCUUCUUCAAAGCAACAACUUUUCCGUCUAGUAGCUCUGCCUUGUAAACACUGCCAUAACCUCCAGUUCCGAUGCAAUAUUUAAUAUGAAAAUCUUCAGUUGCAUUAAUCAAAUCUUCAUAUAAAAUUUUACCAUCAUAAUUCCACACCGAAAACACAUCUCCAUUCUUGGCAGCUCUUGAGUUGAGUUUCAGAGUUUUAUUCUGACGUUUAAGGAGUAAUAUGAAUCAUAAUAUAAAGAAGGCGAGAACUAGACUGAGAGGAAGAAAAAUUUUAACAAACAGAAUGAUUGAAGGUGGAUGCUUCUGACUUUGAGAGCAAGAAGGAAAACCUUCAACAUGGCCGCAAAAACCAUUGUUGCCGGCAAAACUCUUUGGUGGAUUAUCCCGCAAAUUAGAAGGAAUUUCACCUUCCAAACUGUUGAAUGACAUGUCUGAAUGCAUUGGAUAGAGAGUCUUAGGUAUGGUGCCUGAAAGGUUAUUGUGGGAAGGUCCAAGUUUGAAGCAAUAAAAUUUCUCCCAUUUCUGGGGGAAUAGUUCCAUCCAAACUGUUGUGGUUCAAUGUUAAAUUCUUUAACUCUGAGCAGUUGCCAAUCUCAGUUGGAAUAGAACCACCAAGUUUAUUUUUAGAGAGGUCGAGAUACUUAAGGUUGAAGAGUUUUCCAAUUGCAGAAGGUAUCUGCCCUGAAAGUAAGUUUGAGGAAAGGUUGAGAUUUUUGAGUUGGGAUAACUUGGUGAGCUCAUCUGGAAUGAUACCAUGUAUUUUAUUAUCAGAUAAGUCUAACUCCUCUAGAGCACUAAGAUUCCCUAUUUCUAGUGGAAUGGAGCUGUGGAGUUGGUUAGAACUGAGAUCCAAUUGGAGCAAGCUGGUUAACUGACCUAGAGUUGAAGGAAUAGCUCCGGUUAGCUUGUUAACUUUGAUAAACAAAUAAGUCAAAUUCUUUAGAUGUCCUAUUUCUCGUGGAAUUGUGCCAUUGAACUGGUUGAAACCAAGAUAUAAAACCUCAAGGUUUGUUAAACGAAAUAGGGUUGAAGGAAUAGGCCCACCUAAUGUGUUAUUCCUCACAAACAGUCCGAUUAGACUUUUUAGAUUCCCGAUUUCUUGAGGUAAUACACCACUGAGUUUGUUACUACUCAAAUCAAGCCCCUCUAGAUUUCUUAAGCUCCCAAUUUCUUUUGGUAUAGUACCUGCAAUGUGAUCGAUUAAAGGACGAAUGAAUUUCAAUGAUUAUUUUUCAAUGAAUAUAAAUUUAAUAUAUAGCUAGGCUAGCAAGCCACCAUAAUUUUUUGGUAACUCACCAUUGAGAUUGUUAUUACUCAAAUCAAGCACCUUCAGAUUUCUUAAGCUCCUAAUUUCUUUUGGUAUAGUACCUGCAAUGUGAUCGAUUAAAAGACGAAUGAAUUUCAAUUAUUAUUUUUCAAUGAAUAUAAGUUAAAUAAAUAGCUAGCCACCAUAAUUAUUUGGUAACUCGCCAUUGAAGUUGUUACUACCCAAAAGAAGCUCCUUUAAAUUUCUUAAGCUCCCAAUUUCUUUUGGUAUAGUGUUUGCAAUAUGAUCGAUUAAAAGAUGAAUGAAUUUCAAUGAUUAUUUUUCAAUGAAUAUAAAUUAAAUAAACAGCUAGGCUAGCUAGCCACCAUAAUUAUUUGGUAACUCACUCACCUGUAAGAUUAUUCCGAUCCAGAUCAAGGUAUUUGAGAUUUGAAAGAGAACCAAUUUGGGACAGAAUGCUUCCCGAUAGAUUAUUGUUCGAAAGAUCGAGAUAUUGCAGGUUUGGAAAGCAAGAAAAGUUGAGACGGCCAAGUUCCCCUUUGAUCUUGCUUUCCGCUAAGCCUAUGUCAGUGAUCCUUCCUUCAUAAUCGCAAGUGAUACCAACCCAACCGCAAUGAUCUGAAGUAUUGUGAGGAAUCCUGUCCUUCCACCAGCCGCUGUUGAGUAAAGCUUGUCUUUCUAUUUCAGAUGCUGCAACAUGAAUACUAAUGUUGGUAGCAGAUGCAACAUGGACUAUCAAAAGAGUAAGGGCAGCCCAUAUGAAUACGAUGACUGCUCUGCAAGUAUUGAAGAAACCACACUCCAUGUUUAAGAUAGUUUCAACAAAGCUAGGUUCAAGCUAAAAUGAUUUUUGGAUUUUGUUCAUGAACAAACCUGCGGGUGACUAAACUCUGCCUACUUAAAUAAUUUUGAGAUGAUGGACUAAUUCAUAUAUUUUUACGUAUGUACAUAAUUCAUGUUUUAUUAACGCGGUUUCAGUAAAAUUACAGUAAAAGAAGAGCAGACAGUAAAGCAUCAGACAACGUUUUAAGUUUGAAAUGAAUAAAUCGAUCGUGAUGUGUCUUUAGACCGAGUCCAGAUGAUAUUAUUACUUUUUUUUUUCUCUUGGGGUCACAUGCACGUUUUUCCUUCAUUUGACAAGUGUAGAGACUUCUAUAAAACAAUUAAAGCUAUUCACAAAUUGAAUAAUGAAUCACUUUUCCUAUUAUGUAGAAAGUGGUUUGAUUUCUUGAGAAAACAGACACCAUGUUUAACAUUAUUUCAACCAAGGUUGAUGGGAAAUGACUCUGCUCUGGCCAAGAAUUUUUUAUUUUAUUUUUUCGUAAUAUAGGUAUGGGUACUAGGUAUUCAAAAUCGAUUUUUUAGCCCUUAUAUUUUUUAGGAUUCGAACUCUCUAAUUAAAUCUGCUUGAAACCUCCCGGGCAGGGUCCUGAGGGAGGCUAAGACUAAAAUUGAUGAGUAGUUGAUCUCUUAACUUUGAGUUGAUAUAUUAUAAAGAAAAUGUUUUCCUAUAUACUAUACAUAUUCGUGUUUCAUGUACCCAACUUUUUCUGAAACGCGGUUUUAAAAAAGUUGCGGAAGAAGCAGAGAAGAAAGUAAAUUAAUUAAAGCAUCGAACAUAGUUUUGAUUUUGAAAUUAAUAAGUCAAUCGUCAUGCCUUUAGACCGAAUCCAAAUUAUAUUCUCUUUACAUUCGUAAAGCAUAGUUUUCUUCUUAUUUUUUGGGGUGGUGCCCCCAGGAUUUUAGAGGUUUAGACCAUGGAUUGGGACAAUAACACACUGGCUUUAGCCACACAAAUCUACUUAAAAUUAUAGCACUUGGCUACUUAGGGGGCUUUUGUAACCUUGUUUUAGACAAAAAAAAUGAUGUUUAUGAUAGUAAUAUUUUUAAAAAUUUAAAUGCAUGCCUUAGUUUUUUUUUUUAAAUCAAAAUUAUAUAUAAAAAUGAAAAGAGCAAAAACACGUUUGGUUACAUUUUCUCACCGACAAAGUCACACUUGGUUUUUCUAAUUUACUGUUUAAGUUUGAAAAUUACUCUACUACUUACAUUUCAUUGAAUAAUCACCUUCACUUUAUUGUAGUACUUUUUCAAUGACUAAAACUUUAAGAGUGCCGAUGUUUGCCCCGGGUCAAACCCCGAACUUGAAAAAACGACACCGUUUUAAGGAUCAAUUUUUGUUAAGACAGAUGAGCUCCUUUCUUCACGCAACGAUGCCGUUUUGAGGACUAAUCUUUGGCUUUAACUUCAUCCAAUAAGAUAGAAGCAAAGAAAACAUGAAUGAGGCAAGACAGAAACUUGAUGCUUUAAUUCAAUAAACAAAAACAAUAAAAAUUAAAAAACAAUAAUUUUGUGUCUUUUAGUUCCAGCAAUGAAGUUCAUCAUCAACAGUACAGACUCUUUAUCUCAAGCACCGGAAUUAGUCAAAUGUCUUUGGGAAGAAAUAUCCUCGUCUUGAAACUUAUCAGCAAACCUUCAAAUUUGGGUUAUGAAUGAGAUGAAGAAGGUCGAAGCAUUGCAGUUAUGCACAGUCAUGCAGAGACUUUCAAACUAAUAUAUUUUUCAUUAAGAUUUUAUUUGUUAAAAAUCUUAGCCAAUACAGCACCGCUGCAGUGACGAUGGCGACAACAAUGGGUUUCUUGUUGAGACCCCUCUGCAUAUCCACAACCUCCACAAUCCUCUCAAAAUACCAACUCCGUAAACCCCACCUCACUUCUAUCCCCACCCGUCGGCUCUUCUUCUCUCACAAUUUCUCCUCUCUAGCUCUCACACCCACAACAGUCACUACUAAAGCCUUCGCCCCAACUCUCUGUUCCCCACAACCACAGGACCAACAAGAAGAGCAAGAGCAAUAAUUGCUCCUCAACUUGUUCUUGAGAUUUGAGAACCAAUUUAACGGUGCGUUUUUGACAGAAGGCAAACGGUGCGUUUUUAACUUAAUAAAACGGUGCUUUUAGUUCAGGGUUUGACCCGGAAUUUGACCCGGGGCAAACAUCAUUUUCCAAACUUUAACUCUAACUCAUGCACAUGAAAAAUUGAAGUCAAAGUUCUACAGGAAUUUCUAAAAAUGUUUUUUUUUUUUUUGAUACGGAAACAUUGACCAUUUGAAAAACAGCUUCAAUGAAAGGUACCUUAAUGCCGUGAAACACAUUCAAGGAUUAACAAACUACAUGGAUCAAGCAACCAAAUUCAUUCCUUGUUUUCAAAGUUUUUGGAUUGAAAUUUCUUGAAAAAGCAAGUUUUGGUAAUGGACAGGUUCUGUUUAAACAAAUUGACGUUUAAACAAACCACAUCCAUCUGAUCCUAAGAUUUUGUUAUUAUAAGAAAUACGAAAAGUCAAAGAAGAAAUGCUGACAUCAUGAAUCCUGCAGCAUGAUCGUGAAAAUUCAAAGAAAAAAAUGUCGGUGUCAUGAAUCUCGAGGGAAGAUCAUAAUUCCUACAGCAGAGUUAUGAAAAAUCAAAGAAGAAAUGCUAGUGUCGUGAAUCUUGCAGUACGAUCAUUAGUCCUGCAACAGAGUCCAUAAAGCCCAUGAAGCUUGCAGCAGAACCACUAACUCUACAACAGAGCCCAUUAGUUCUGCAACAAAAUCAUAAGUCCAUGGACUAGAUGCAAGAUCAUGGACUACGUAGAAGAUGGUGCCAAAAAGUUCAAAUCACCACAAGUCUGUGAGACCAUGAUUCAACCCCCAGCUCUAAACGUGGAAUGAUUUAGAAGCUCGAUUCAAAGAGAUAGGGAUAUAAAUCAGUUGUGCUAUCAUCCAUAGAAGAUAAUAUUAUGGAUUAUCUGAAUCUUAAGUGACAUAAAUGAAGAGUUUGGAUUAGAAUUCUUUGUUAUCAGUAGAACACUAUAUAUAUAACGCCUCUCUUAGUACACAAAAGAUGAGGUGACUAUAACAACAAAAGUAGGAAUCAUUUUUUUAUAGUGAAAGCUUUAAAUUCCUACUUGUGGACGUGGGCUAAAUGUUGGAUGACAUUAAAUUUUAUGUUAUAUUUAGUAUAUUUAAUUUAUUUUACUAGUUGACAAGAUUUUUAUGCCAACAUAUUUAAAUUUUCCAAGAGACAGCUUAAUGACACUUAAAUGAAGCAUAUUAGUGUGCCAAGUUUUCUGAUGACACUCAAAUCAAGCUUAGGCCUUAUUAGCUCCACCUCUACAUGUGUUUUUCUGCCUUGCUUUCUUCCUCUUUGGUUUUUGUAUCAGAUGCGGAUGUGUUUUGAACCAUCCUUGAUUCAUGAAAGACCACAUCUUCGCUUAUGAUACACCUAAGUUUCUUCAAGGCUGUACAUCGAAGGUUGUAUACUUCGAUCCCAUAUGGAUAUCUCAGGAAUGCAUAUUUCAAAGCUCUUGAUUCUAGUUAUUUUUGCUCUGCAUAUGCGUAUACAAAACAACCAAAUAUCUUCUAAUUGGAUUACUCUACUGGUUUCCAGACCAUAUUUCAAUUGGAGUCUUGAAUGGAUCAACAUGCAUUUCAAUGUGCAUAAAUAUCACAUUAAUACAUCUGCCAAAAACUUUUGUUGAGAUGUAUGCCUUACUAUCUUGUGCCCAGCUAUCCUAUUAAUUGCACGUAAAUCUUCAAACCUUUUGCUGCAAAAUCUAAUCCAUUAUUAGGUUUUUUAUCUCUUGAUCUUUCUGCCAAUUUGUGUUUCAAUGAGUGUUUUUUAAGUUUUAAACUUAUCAAACACUUUAUUUAUGUCUUCAACAUACUUACACCAUUCUAAAAUAAUUAUCUAUUAGAGAAAAAAAAAGUACAGCUAGGCACAAGAUAUUAUAGUACUAUUAAAAUGCAUUUGAGGAAUAUUGUAAUACUAGACUAUUGUCGGCACUUGUCUAACAAAUUAUUUACGAUUGAUUUGCCCCUGCUCCUUGAUAAUAGAUUUUUGGUUUUGAAUCUAGAGCAUGCGUUCAUUAUUUUCCAACCUACUUUGAAAAAUUAUUUUCAGAAAUUGAAAACAAAGUUUAUCGAACAGUAUUUAUCACCAAUCAGUUGAAUGGCACUGUACCUGCAUGUGUGCAUAUUGUUGGGAAAAUAUGCUCUUUAAAAGCAUAUGUAUUUAUUUAAUUGUAAUAAAUAAUUUUUCUGAUUAAUAAAAUAAAUGAGGUAUUUUAUUCAAAUAUCUUAAUUGCAUUAAUAUUUGUAUUAAAGUCCAUUUAAUCAUAUUAUAUGUAUUUAUGUGAUCACCAUGUGGAUUCACAGAAGACAUAAAUACAAGUUAUCUUAUGAUUAAAUAAAUUUAGUUCGCAGUUGAUAAAUAAAGUUGGGCACUUUAUUUAGGUAUAGACUGUAAUAAAUUCAUUGAAUGAUUUGUCUUAAUCAUGUAUGAAUUUAUUGAUGUAGUACGACUACAUUGAACAGGAUCACAUAUGAGAUUUAAUUAACUUUGUAAUAACUGUCAGACUUAUUAAAUCUCAUAGGCGUUGAUUUUACUGUAAUCUUAAUCUUGAGUUAAUUAUGAUUUCAUGAUUGCGAUUGUUAUUUCAUUUGAGUUACCAAUGGGCACGACACAUCCUUGUGGUCAAGAUUACCCGGUAUCUUGGUGGGAGCAAUUAUGAGUAUUGGAGUUAUGGAUUAACAAUAUAGAAUUUGUACAACACAUCUCUUGAUAGGUUUUCGGUACUUGAUCAUAGAAUUCUCUGGCCAGAGUGUGUCAACAUAUUUAGUAUGUUGAAAAUGAUCAUUAGAGAAAACCAGUAAGGAUCAAGGAAUAAGAUGUUAUUAAAUUGAUUGGACAGUUGAGAUAUCAAUUUAAUUAACGAUGUGGUACAAAGGAUUGUGCAGUAAAGAAAUCAAUGUGGCUUGGGACGAAUUAUUAUUCGAGCAUACAAUUAUGGAAGUCAGUUCCAAUCUUUUAGUGGAGUAGAUUUGAAAUUAAAUAAUUGGGCUAGUUUAAUUACAUGCCUAAUUAUUGUAGCCACUAUUGUAUGUUCCCAAAUGAUCCCCGGGUUAGCUCAUUUAAUUGACUGCACCACUACUGGACUAAUAAGCAAGAUAACUAGCUAUUUGGGUCAAAAGCCUAAAUAUAUCAUUUAGUGGGAGGCUCCAUUUAAUAAGCUUAUGUAUAAGGGGCCUUAUGUUAUUUUACAUGGUGGGUCCCCUAUUAAAUGAAAAGUAACGUGAGUUUUAUUUUGGGCAUUAUUUGGAGCCUAGGGUUUUCACUAAAGGGAGAUAUAUAAGGCUUAUUUUUCUCAACAAAAAAAAACAAGCAGCCACUUUAUACAGAUCAGAGAAUAAGAUUUUUCUCUCCAUUAUUGAGAGAAAAAUUUUCUCGUGCUAGUUGCUUUGGUAGUGAUAAAGGCGCCCACACGUCAAGUGCAGAUCGAACCUGAGUCAUAACCUGGAAGAUCAUUGGUGACAGUUCGUGAUCUAGCAAGCGUGGUGGCGACGGAUCGUGAUCUAACAGGAGUGGUGGUGGCAGAUCGUGAUCUAGGAGCCUAAAUCACUUCAGCGGAAAAAGCCAACUCGGAUUUUUAAGGUACGAUUUCUAGAAUACGAAUUCUUAUAUAUUAUAUGAGAGCGAUCUUCAAAAGGUUUUAUAAAAAUUUUAAGAACCUAAUUUUUCCCCAACACAUAUAUCUGAGCCAUCUCAUAUUAAUAUAUAAGAAUUUCGUAUGAAAUCAUUCUUGAAAUUUAUGUAUUAGAGUGGCACAAUUUAUUCAGAUAUAUAUUAAUUGUUUAAUAUAUGAAUAAAGCAUGUUUUGUUUUGUCUUAAUUCAUGGUUAGAUUUUCCGUUGUAUUUUUUCUUUGGAUCUAUAACAAGAGGGGUGAUUUUUUAUCAUCAUAUUUCCCUCUUGAUUUAUUUUACUGUUAUAGAAUUUUUGUAAGCCAAAAAUUGGCCUAGGAAAUUUGUAAAUUAAUCUCGGAUUUUCAAGAUCUAAGCGACGGAGGCCGGAAAUUUUGACAGCGGCAACCAGCAGCAAGCAGCGUGCGGCCAGCAGCACAUGCUGCAGCAAGCGCGCGCUGCACGCGCAGCGGCAGCAGCGCGCGCUGCAAGCCAGCAGCCAGCAACGCACGCUGUGCGUGCAGCAGCCAGCGCACGCUCACGUGCAACAGCCAGCACACGCAGCAGGCAGCGCGAGCAGGAGCUUUCCGUGCAGCGCGAGGGAGGUGUUUGGCACGUUUCCGGUGUGUCGGCGACGGCAAACUCGACGUUGAUAGCGGCUGUCCGGUGAGAUUGGCCUGAACAGUGGCCGUUUGUGCUGGUGGCGGCUGGGGAAGAAGAGGAAAAGAAAAAUGUGAUUUUAGGGUUCCAUGGUUUUUAUCGUGGAGGUCCCUAUAGCUUCAUAUUUUUCAGUUGGGCAGAAACGUUUUUUAAUUUUUUGCAUUUAAGUCCGAAAACGGUUUUGGGCUUAAAGAAUCCUAGUUUUAGGCCCAAUUUCAAUUGGGCUUAAUGGAUUAAAAUGCAUAGAUAAAAUUAAAUACAUUAAAUUUAUUUUUGGUCCAAAAGUUUUAUUUUAAUAAAAAAAAAUUUUUAUUUUAUUUUCUUUCAAAAUUAAAAUUGGACCAAUUAUAAAUUUAAAUGCCCAAUUUCUCCUAGUCCAUUAACAAAGUCAAGCUUAUGAAGGAUGGACAUUGACAAGAAGCCCAAUGAAGAUUAGGCUUAGGGUUAAUGUAUUUUUUUCAUUAUUAGGAAAGCCAUGAAUUAAGAUUAUUUAAUUGUUUUUCUAUAUGUUAUGUUUUGGAUGAUAACAUGCCAUGAUAACAUGUCAUAUAGAAUAGGUAGUGCCACUCUAUGCAUAAUGAUACAUGUCAUUCAUUAAUUAUGAAUUUCAUUAUAUUGUUUGAAAUUUGCACAUGCUUAAUAAUAUUUGAUAUCAUCUAGAUAAUAUUAUAGGAAGCAUGCAAUUAACAAUAUGUAUGUUUUAAAAAGGAAAAAUCAAUUUUAAAAUAUUGAGUGGGAGAGGGAAAAUUCAAGAUAAUUUUCCCACGGGCUCCAUUGUUAGUUCAAUAAUAAAAUUAUAUAUAUACCUCGACUUCAUGAUACGGUGAUGCUCCCUUCGGAGGGUAUAUAUAUUAGAUAUUUUAUUUGAUGAACUUCUUCAAAGAUAAAAUUGAAAUAUUUUUCAAUCGAUUGUUCACCCCAACGGUGACUAUUGAUAUGAAAAAUACGUAGAUUGAAAUAAUGGUUAUACACUCAACUAAAGUUUGUUAUUAACCUUCCCAACGAAGCUCUGUUAACAAAUUUAGGCCCAAAUGGAUAACGAUAAUUAUUUAUCAUGUCUCUACAUGAAAGUAAAUAAUCUAAUGGAUAAUUGGGUCUAGUAAGUGUAGACAUGACUUCCCCAACGGAUAGCUUGUCAAAGCGGUACUAGAUUAUCGUUACAAUAAAUUAAAAUGCAUUUAUGGUUUUUUUUUGCAUUUUUGUCAUUUAUUGUGAAUAUUAUUUCAAAUUAUUUAUGCAUGGAUGUUUUAUUUUUCAGAAAAUGUCUUCCCUGAGCCCACUUACUAUUAUUCUGAGUCAAAACAAACUCACUGGAGAGAACUAUAUAGAUUGGAAAAGAAAUCUAUUCAUUGUCCUGACUGCUGAAAAUUAUAAAUAUGUCUUAACCCAGCCAUGCCCCCCAGUUCCAGCAGAUGAUGCUCAUAGAAAUCAGAGGAGGCUUUAUGAGAAAUGGCAAAAGGCCAAUGAAAUGGCAAAGUGCUACAUUUUAGCCUCGAUUUCUAAUAUUCUGCAGACCAAACAUCAGAACUUGGAGACUGCCACUGAAAUAAUGGAUAGUCUCCAACAGAUGUUCGGGCAGAGUACUCGCUCUGCGAGACAAGCAGCGCUGAAAGGAAUUAUGAACAGUAAAAUGGGGAAGGGCACAAGAGUUCGUGAUCAUGUCCUCAAAAUGAUGGACUAUUUGAAUGAGGCUGAGAUUCAGGGAGCACAAAUCGAUGAUAACUCAAAGAUUGACAUGGUGCUAGAAUCUCUGCCAGAAACAUUCAAGGAGUUUAAGGUCAAUUAUAACAUGAACAAAAGAAAUAUGACCUUAACUGAAUUGAUGAACGAACUCCAUUCUGCUGAAGAGAUCUAUCGUGCUGAGAAAUCUCUGGGAAGCAUAAAUAUUACUGAAAAAAGUUCAUCUUCUGGGCCUAAACCGAAAGGCAAAGGUAAGAAGAAAGCUGGGAAAAAGAGACCGUCUACCAAGCAAGAUGGCAAGCCGAAAGGCAAAUGCUUCAAGUGUGGACAGAAAGGUCACUGGAAAAAGGAUUGCCCUAAGAUUGUGAAAUCAGGUAUGGGAAAUCUUUUUGUAAUUGAGGCCUGUUUAGUUUAGAAUCCUAUUGACACUUGGGUGUUGGAUUCAGGAGCAACUAAUCAUAUUUGUAAUUCACUUUAUUGGUUUCAGGAAACCAGGAAAAUAAGUGAAGGAAGCGUCAAGCUGCAGUUAGGGACAGGACAGUUCGUGUCAGCAGUAAAGACUGGAUCUGUUUUAUUAUCUUUUAAUAAUGAGACUUUAGUUUUGAAUAAUUGUCUUUAUGUUCCAGACAUUAAGAGGAAUUUAAUUUCAGUAGCUUGUUUGUCAAAGCAAGGGUACACUGUAAAUUUUGGAUCCUCUGUUUCUAUUUUUCAUAAUAAGAGACUUAUUUGUUCUGGUACAUUGGAAGAUAAUUUAUAUCAUUUAAGUCCAAUGAUCCAUUCUAUGCAUGACACAGUGAUAAAUAAUGAUGAGCAUACACAUUUAUCUAAGAAAAAAAUAUUUCUUCCAACCAAUGUUACCUCUGGCAUUUACGCUUGGGUCAUAUAAACCAAAAUAGGAUACAGAGAAUGAUCAAAGAUGGGCUCUUGGGUCCAUUAGAAAAUGAAUCAUUGCCACUCUGUGAAUCCUGUUUAGAAGGAAAAAUGACCAAAAGGCCAUUCUCGGCCAAAGGAGUACGUGCAACAGUACCACUUGAAUUGGUACAUACAGAUGUAUGUGGACCAAUCAAUGUACAAGCUUGAGGAGGUUAUGAGUAUUUCAUCACUUUUACUGAUGAUUACUCAAGAUACGGUUAUGUUUAUCUGAUGCGUUAUAAGUCUGAAGCUCUUGAGAAAUUCAAAGAGUAUAGGGCUGAGACAGAAAAGCAAUUAGAUAAGAACAUAAAGAAACUUCGAUCUGAUCGAGGUGGUGAAUUUCUCUCAGGAGAUUUCAAAGAGUAUCUGGUUGAAAAUGGGAUUAUAUCUCAAUUGACUGCCCCGGGAACACCACAACAAAAUGGGGUAGCUGAAAGAAGAAAUAGAACUCUUUUGGAUAUGGUGAGAUCUAUGCUUAGUUAUUCGUCAUUACCAAUCUCUUUUUGGGGACUAGCACUGGAAACUGCAGUUUACCUUUUGAACUUAGUUCCAUCUAAGUCAGUGCCUAAAACCCCAAUAGAAUUAUGGUCAGGUCGCAAACCAAGUUUACGACAUGUCCGUAUUUGGGGAUCACCAGCACAUGUACUGAAACCAAAGGCAGACAAAAUGGAUUCACGUUCUGAGGUUUGUAUGUUUGUGGGGUAUCCCAAAGGAACAAGGGGAGGUUUAUUUUAUAGUCUUCAAGAUAGGAAAGUGAUCGUGAGCACACAUUUCACUUCCCUNNNNNNNNNNNNNNNNNNNNNNNNNNNNNNNNNNNNNNNNNNNNNNNNNNNNNNNNNNNNNNNNNNNNNNNNNNNNNNNNNNNNNNNNNNNNNNNNNNNNGAACAGGAAGAACAGCAACAACCAGAUGAUCAACACAGGAUUAACCCUGAACAACCAUCACUUUUAGAACCUCGUCGUAGUGGGAGGGUAACUAGGUUACCUGCGAGAUACAUGCUUUUGGGAGAAACCUAUACGGCUAUCUCAGAUGAACAUGUACAAGAUCCCACUAGUUACAACGAAGCUCUAAUAGAUAGAGAUGUUGAAUUUUGGAAAAAGGCCAUGAAUCAAGAAAUGGAUUCUAUGUAUUCCAAUAAAGUCUGGGAACUUGUAGAGGCACCAAAUGGGGUAAAACCUAUAGGGUGCAAGUGGAUCUACAAGAGAAAAAGAGGAGUAGACGGAAGGGUGGAAACAUUUAAAGCAAGAUUAGUAGCCAAAGGGUUUACUCAGAAAGAGGGAAUCGAUUAUGAGGAAACUUUUUCUCCGGUUGCUAUGCUUAAAUCCAUCAGGAUUCUGCUCUCCAUUGCUGCAAUGCUAGAUUAUGAAAUUUGGCAAAUGGAUGUCAAGACUGCUUUUCUUAACGGGCAUCUUGAAGAAAACAUUUACAUGCAGCAACCAGAUGGAUUUAUACAAAAAGGCCAAGAACACAUGGUAUGUAAGUUGCAGAAAUCCAUUUAUGGAUUGAAACAAGCAUCCCGGUCAUGGAACAUCAGAUUUGAUCAAGCGAUUAAAUCGUUUGGAUUCAUUCAGAACAUUGAUGAACCAUGUGUGUACAAGAAAAUUCAAGAAAAAUCUGUAGCCUUCCUAAUUCUUUAUGUAGACGAUAUUCUCCUAAUUGGAAACGAUAUAGGAGUAUUGACUACAAUAAAGAGUUGGUUAGCGAAACAAUUUGAUAUGAAAGACCUGGGAGAGGCAAGUUAUAUUCUUGGUAUCAAGUUACUACGAGACCGAAAGAAUAAAACUUUAGCCUUGUCUCAAGCGGUCUAUAUCGAUAAGAUAUUGGCUAGAUUUAGCAUGGAAAAUUCCAAGACUGGUUUAUUACCAUUCAGACAUGGAAUUACAUUCUCUAAGGAUCAAUCACCUAAAACAUCUGAAGAGAUAGAGAGAAUGAGACGAGUUCCCUAUGCAGAAGCUGUGGGAAGUCUCAUGUAUGCCAUGCUUUGCACUAGGCCAGACAUCUGUUUUGCGGUAGGGAUGGUUAGUAGAUAUCAAUCUAAUCCUGGACCUGAACACUGGACUGCGGUCAAGCAUAUAAUGAAGUAUCUGAAAAGAACUAAAAAUUAUAUGCUUGUGUAUUCUGGCGAUGAACUCAUUCCAGUGGGUUAUACUGAUUCUGACUUUAUGUCAGAUAAGGAUUCCAGAAAAUCAACUUCCGGCUAUGUGUUUACAUUGGGAAGUGGAGCUAUUAGUUGGAGGAGUGUGAAACAAUCUUGUAUCGCAGACUCCACAACUGAAGCUGAAUAUGUGGCUGCAUCCGAAGCUGCAAAAGAAGCUGUAUGGCUCCGCAAGUUCCUACAAGAUCUUGAGGUGGUACCUGCUGUAACUGCACCCCUUAAACUAUUUUGCGAUAAUAGUGGUGCGGUAGCUCAAUCUAAGGAACCAAGGAACCACAAGAAACAAAAACAUAUUGAGAGGAAGUAUCAUCUUAUAAGGGAUAUAGUGCAGAGAGGUGAUGUGGAGGUUACUCAGAUUGCGUCACAGCAAAACUUGGCAGAUCCUUUUACUAAGGCCAUACCUGGGAAACCUUUUAACUUGCACUUAGAAUCCAUGGGCAUGCGUGAGAUGCCAGAUAUGCUUUGAGAGCUAGUGGGAGAUUGUUGGGAAAAUAUGCUCUUUAAAAGCAUAUGUGUUUAUUUAAUUGUAAUAAAUAAUUUUUCUGAUUAAUAAAAUAAAUGAGGUAUUUUAUUCAAAUAUCUUAAUUGCAUUAAUAUUUGUAUUAAAUUCCAUUUAAUCAUAUUAUAUGUAUUUAUGUGAUCACCAUAUGGAUUCACAGAAGACAUAAAUACAAGUUAUCUUAUGAUUAAAUAAAUUUAGUUCGCAGUUGAUAAAUAAAGUUGGGCACUUUAUUUAGGUAUAGACUGUAAUAAAUUCAUUGAAUGAUUUGUCUUAAUCAUGUAUGAAUUUAUUGAUGUAGUACGACUACAUUGAACAGGAUCACAUAUGAGAUUUAAUUAACUUUGUAAUAACUGUCAGACUUAUUAAAUCUCAUAGGCGUUGAUUUUACUGUAAUCUUAAUCUUGAGUUAAUUAUGAUUUCAUGAUUGCGAUUGUUAUUUCAUUUGAGUUACCAAUGGGCACGACACAUCCUUGUGGUCAAGAUUACCCGGUAUCUUGGUGGGAGCAAUUAUGAGUAUUGGAGUUAUGGAUUAACAAUAUAGAAUUUGUACAACACAUCUCUUGAUAGGUUUUCGGUACUUGAUCAUAGAAUUCUCUGGCCAGAGUGUGUCAACAUAUUUAGUAUGUUGAAAAUGAUCAUUAGAGAAAACCAGUAAGGAUCAAGGAAUAAGAUGUUAUUAAAUUGAUUGGACAGUUGAGAUAUCAAUUUAAUUAACGAUGUGGUACAAAGGAUUGUGCAGUAAAGAAAUCAAUGUGGCUUGGGACGAAUUAUUAUUCGAGCAUACAAUUAUGGAAGUCAGUUCCAAUCUUUUAGUGGAGUAGAUUUGAAAUUAAAUAAUUGGGCUAGUUUAAUUACAUGCCUAAUUAUUGUAGCCACUAUUGUAUGUUCCCAAAUGAUCCCCGGGUUAGCUCAUUUAAUUGACUGCACCACUACUGGACUAAUAAGCAAGAUAACUAGCUAUUUGGGUCAAAAGCCUAAAUAUAUCAUUUAGUGGGAGGCUCCAUUUAAUAAGCUUAUGUAUAAGGGGCCUUAUGUUAUUUUACAUGGUGGGUCCCCUAUUAAAUGAAAAGUAACGUGAGUUUUAUUUUGGGCAUUAUUUGGAGCCUAGGGUUUUCACUAAAGGGAGAUAUAUAAGGCUUAUUUUUCUCAACAAAAAAAAACAAGCAGCCACUUUAUACAGAUCAGAGAAUAAGAUUUUUCUCUCCAUUAUUGAGAGAAAAAUUUUCUCGUGCUAGUUGCUUUGGUAGUGAUAAAGGCGCCCACACGUCAAGUGCAGAUCGAACCUGAGUCAUAACCUGGAAGAUCAUUGGUGACAGUUCGUGAUCUAGCAAGCGUGGUGGCGACGGAUCGUGAUCUAACAGGAGUGGUGGUGGCAGAUCGUGAUCUAGGAGCCUAAAUCACUUCAGCGGAAAAAGCCAACUCGGAUUUUUAAGGUACGAUUUCUAGAAUACGAAUUCUUAUAUAUUAUAUGAGAGCGAUCUUCAAAAGGUUUUAUAAAAAUUUUAAGAACCUAAUUUUUCCCCAACACAUAUAUCUGAGCCAUCUCAUAUUAAUAUAUAAGAAUUUCGUAUGAAAUCAUUCUUGAAAUUUAUGUAUUAGAGUGGCACAAUUUAUUCAGAUAUAUAUUAAUUGUUUAAUAUAUGAAUAAAGCAUGUUUUGUUUUGUCUUAAUUCAUGGUUAGAUUUUCCGUUGUAUUUUUUCUUUGGAUCUAUAACAAGAGGGGUGAUUUUUUAUCAUCAUAUUUCCCUCUUGAUUUAUUUUACUGUUAUAGAAUUUUUGUAAGCCAAAAAUUGGCCUAGGAAAUUUGUAAAUUAAUCUCGGAUUUUCAAGAUCUAAGCGACGGAGGCCGGAAAUUUUGACAGCGGCAACCAGCAGCAAGCAGCGUGCGGCCAGCAGCACAUGCUGCAGCAAGCGCGCGCUGCACGCGCAGCGGCAGCAGCGCGCGCUGCAAGCCAGCAGCCAGCAACGCACGCUGUGCGUGCAGCAGCCAGCGCACGCUCACGUGCAACAGCCAGCACACGCAGCAGGCAGCGCGAGCAGGAGCUUUCCGUGCAGCGCGAGGGAGGUGUUUGGCACGUUUCCGGUGUGUCGGCGACGGCAAACUCGACGUUGAUAGCGGCUGUCCGGUGAGAUUGGCCUGAACAGUGGCCGUUUGUGCUGGUGGCGGCUGGGGAAGAAGAGGAAAAGAAAAAUGUGAUUUUAGGGUUCCAUGGUUUUUAUCGUGGAGGUCCCUAUAGCUUCAUAUUUUUCAGUUGGGCAGAAACGUUUUUUAAUUUUUUGCAUUUAAGUCCGAAAACGGUUUUGGGCUUAAAGAAUCCUAGUUUUAGGCCCAAUUUCAAUUGGGCUUAAUGGAUUAAAAUGCAUAGAUAAAAUUAAAUACAUUAAAUUUAUUUUUGGUCCAAAAGUUUUAUUUUAAUAAAAAAAAAUUUUUAUUUUAUUUUCUUUCAAAAUUAAAAUUGGACCAAUUAUAAAUUUAAAUGCCCAAUUUCUCCUAGUCCAUUAACAAAGUCAAGCUUAUGAAGGAUGGACAUUGACAAGAAGCCCAAUGAAGAUUAGGCUUAGGGUUAAUGUAUUUUUUUCAUUAUUAGGAAAGCCAUGAAUUAAGAUUAUUUAAUUGUUUUUCUAUAUGUUAUGUUUUGGAUGAUAACAUGCCAUGAUAACAUGUCAUAUAGAAUAGGUAGUGCCACUCUAUGCAUAAUGAUACAUGUCAUUCAUUAAUUAUGAAUUUCAUUAUAUUGUUUGAAAUUUGCACAUGCUUAAUAAUAUUUGAUAUCAUCUAGAUAAUAUUAUAGGAAGCAUGCAAUUAACAAUAUGUAUGUUUUAAAAAGGAAAAAUCAAUUUUAAAAUAUUGAGUGGGAGAGGGAAAAUUCAAGAUAAUUUUCCCACGGGCUCCAUUGUUAGUUCAAUAAUAAAAUUAUAUAUAUACCUCGACUUCAUGAUACGGUGAUGCUCCCUUCGGAGGGUAUAUAUAUUAGAUAUUUUAUUUGAUGAACUUCUUCAAAGAUAAAAUUGAAAUAUUUUUCAAUCGAUUGUUCACCCCAACGGUGACUAUUGAUAUGAAAAAUACGUAGAUUGAAAUAAUGGUUAUACACUCAACUAAAGUUUGUUAUUAACCUUCCCAACGAAGCUCUGUUAACAAAUUUAGGCCCAAAUGGAUAACGAUAAUUAUUUAUCAUGUCUCUACAUGAAAGUAAAUAAUCUAAUGGAUAAUUGGGUCUAGUAAGUGUAGACAUGACUUCCCCAACGGAUAGCUUGUCAAAGCGGUACUAGAUUAUCGUUACAAUAAAUUAAAAUGCAUUUAUGGUUUUUUUUUGCAUUUUUGUCAUUUAUUGUGAAUAUUAUUUCAAAUUAUUUAUGCAUGGAUGUUUUAUUUUUCAGAAAAUGUCUUCCCUGAGCCCACUUACUAUUAUUCUGAGUCAAAACAAACUCACUGGAGAGAACUAUAUAGAUUGGAAAAGAAAUCUAUUCAUUGUCCUGACUGCUGAAAAUUAUAAAUAUGUCUUAACCCAGCCAUGCCCCCCAGUUCCAGCAGAUGAUGCUCAUAGAAAUCAGAGGAGGCUUUAUGAGAAAUGGCAAAAGGCCAAUGAAAUGGCAAAGUGCUACAUUUUAGCCUCGAUUUCUAAUAUUCUGCAGACCAAACAUCAGAACUUGGAGACUGCCACUGAAAUAAUGGAUAGUCUCCAACAGAUGUUCGGGCAGAGUACUCGCUCUGCGAGACAAGCAGCGCUGAAAGGAAUUAUGAACAGUAAAAUGGGGAAGGGCACAAGAGUUCGUGAUCAUUUGGUUGGUAUAAUCCUCAGCUUCAUGUACACGUCCAGCACGAGCAAGCAAGUCAACCACACAAGAACGGCGCUCUCUUGUUGGUAUAAUCCCAUACUCAUUUUGCAUGAUCCUAUACAACUGCAACCCUUCUUCUACCAGUCCAACAUGACUGCAGGCUGUAAGGACACCAACAAGUGUCACAUGGUUUGGCCUAACUCCUGAACUUCUCAUCCUUCUAAACAGUUUAAGAGCUUCCUCUCCACAUCCAAACUGAGCAUAUCCCACAAUCAAACUACUCCACGAGACAACAUCUGGAUCCUCCAUAAAGUUAAAGAGCUUCCUCUCCACAUCCAACCUGAGCAUAUCCCUCAAUCAAACUACUCCACGAGACAACAUCUGGAGCCUCCAUAAAGUUAAAGAGCUCCCGAGCACUUCCAAGGGAGCCACAUUUUACAUACAUGUCCAUCAAUCCAUUCAUGACAAAAACAUCAAGUGCAAGCCCAGUUUUCAUUAUGUAGCAAUGAAGUUGAGUUCCCAUUUCUAAAGAAGCCAUUGCUGCGCAAGCCCCCAUUACAUCAUUGAAAGUAAUUUGAUCCGGCUUAGUUUGAGAAGCAAGCAUUAGGCUAAAUAAUCUGAAUAAUUCUCCAGCCUGGUGCUGCUGCAGAAAGCUGCAAGAAUUGAGUUCCAAGAAACUAAAUCUGCAUUUUUGCCCAACUCUUUAAAUACCAGUAAGGCAUUGCAGAGAACAGAGCACUUAGCAUACAUGGUCAGUAUAGCAUUACAGACAGGAACAUUCGAAUAAAACCCCUUCUUAAUAAUAUAGGAGUGAAUUUGCAUACCCUGAUAAAGUGUCAAAGGGCUGGUGCAAGCACAAAGUAGGGAACGAACAGUGAGCCCAUCAGGUAUCAACUCACGAUCCCCCAUUUCUGAAAAGAGUGACAUGGCUUCGUUGGCAUUGCUACAACUAGCAACCCCAGCAAUAAUUGUAUUCCAUGAUGCUAAAUUAGGGCUUUCCAUCUCAUUAAAUACAGUUCUUGCAAAAUCUAACAAACCACAUCGGGCAUAAAUGUCACAAAAGGAACAUCCGGCAAAAAUAUCUCUACCCAACCCGAAUUUUAUGCAUAUACCAUGUACCUGCCUCCCACAUUCAUGAUGUAGGAGAGUGCUACAAGCACUAAAAACACUGCCAAAUAUAAAUUCAUUUGGCUGGUAACCACCAUGAUGGAGCAUUUCAUUAAAAUGGCUCAAAGCUUCUAACUCACAACCAAGUUUGGAAAACCCAUCAAUCAUUGAACCCCAUGAAGUUAUAUCCUUUCUAGCGAUACUGGAAAACACAUUCCAUGCAUCCAAAAUUCGAUCAAACUUUGUGUACAUUGCGAUUAGAGCAUUCUGUGAAAUAAGAUGAGAACCAUGUUCUGAUUUUAUGACAUGGGCAUGAAGUUGUCUUCCUAAGCCAACACAGCAUAGACCUGAGCAAGCUCUUAUUAUGCUUCCAAAGGUAAACUGAUCCGGCAUAAGUCCUGACUGUAGCAUUUGUACGUACAGUUCAAUCGCAUCAUUUUCUUGGCCAUUCUGAGAGCAUCCAGCGAUCAUAGCAGUCCAAGAGACCACAUUCCUUUGCGGCAUUUCAUCAAAAACCAUUCUAGCAUCCUCCAAUGAACCACAUUUUCCGUACAUAUUAAGAAUAUGGUUAUGUAGAACAGCAUCUGGCUGACACUUGGACGAUAAAAUAUGAUCAUGGACUUUUCUUCCAAGUUGUAGAGAUCUCAGAGAAGAGCAUGCAGAGAUUAAAUCAGCAUAAGUGCUAGGUCUUAUCCUGAAGUUUGUAUUGUUUUGCAAGAAGUCAAAUGCUACAAGAGCUUCAUUGUACAGGUUUUGCUUGCAGAGAGAGCUAAUGUAAUCAUUGCUGAACUGUUCAGUCCUAAAGUAAGUUAGAGCAUUUGAUUGUACAAUAGGCUGACUGUGGUAGAAGGUGAACCGCAGUUGGGUUUUUAAGUUUCUAAUCAUGGUCACAGCAUUUCAGAAAGAAAAUAGUCUAGAACUAAAGGAUAAGAAAUGUUGAGAUUCUUUUUGUAUUUGGAUUUGGAUUUUAAAAGUAAUAGUAGAAAGCAACAAAUGUAAGUGGUAAAUUGCAUGAACUGAGAGGUAAAAUCUGACUCUUAUGUUACUCCAUGAACCUGAAUAAAUCAAAGUCCGAAAUAUCAUCGAAUCUUCUCAGAAAAGAAUCCACCACCUCCCCAGCUUGAUCCAACAACAUACACAGUUCAAAUGCAUCCCAAUACUCACAACACCACCUAGGCAAAUGACAAAUAAAAAAACACAUAAUCAACAUAUUGCACUGACAAGCACGGAUACAAACUCUCGUGCAAACUUUUUGUAAACAAACUGAUAUGUCAUCACAUUAUUGGUUGGAUGAUGUAAAUGGAGCGAACUUCCAAAUCGAAUCAAACUUAUGCUAAAUGAAUUUUUCAAGCAAUCAAAAUGGGCCCCUCACAAAAUUUUUUACAGGAAACAAAAAUGUGAAAGCUUGUAAGAGGCAAUUCUUCAAAAUGGUUAAAAAUUUAUAAUACAUUAGAACUACGGAUACAAAUGCUACGACUUUUUGCAAUGACAACGAAGUACCAAUGAAACACAAAGUGUUGCGAUAAAGCGUGAAAGCAACGAAACUAGAAAUGGAAUCAGAAGCAGAAAUGAACUGUAAAGCCAUCAUAGCAAAAGAUCGAAACUGCCGAUAAUUAAAAUUAAAUUACCUUAAGAUUGUGGAUUGUAGUGACUGUAUUCAAGCAUCCUCAUUCUUAAAUCUGAAUUUUAAAAAAAAAAUGGUUAAACAAAGUAGACUGAAAGGAAUGCGAGCAGGUCUUUGAGCAGCAAAAUGGCGCGCUUCAAGAGUUUAGCGGUGAUAGGGGUAAAAUUGGCAAUUCAAUUACCGAGGAAAUUAAGGCAUUAAGCAGACCAUGUUUUAAUUUUGAAUUUAGUUCAUUUUCUUACAAAUUUAAAGAGGUAAAGAUUGUUUAUUUCUUAUUUUAAUGUGAUAGUAUAGUUGAAUUUAAUCUGAGUACUAUCAAUAUAGUAUUUUUUAAAAUAAAUAUACAUAUGUUUUAAUAUUAUUUAUUUAUUGCAUGACUAACUUAAUAAUAUCUCUCAAACUAUAUUCCCAAUGAAUUUUAAUGUUACAUAAUUGGUAAUUAUUAAUUUUUAUAAAAUAAAAAUCUCAUCGUGUCUUUUAAUUUUUAUCAUAGUUAAAGAUGAAAGUAUGACAUGUUAUGAAAACUUCCGUAAUUUGAUAUUAAAACAACAAGAGAGGGUCUUCUCUAUGUAAAGUUUUAAAUGCAUCCAAUUUUGAGAUAAGUAGAAUGUUGUUGUUUGAUAUGUUGCGGUAAACAAUUGAUGGCGUGCAAUAGUGAUACAGGUGUGACAAAGUGUAAGCCACACUCUUCAAGAUGCUCACUCUGUUAGUCCAAUUCAGCUCAAGAGCUUCAUCCUCAUUGCGUAGAACACAGAACAAGCUUCAUCUUUCCAUGCACUCAUAAAUAAAAAACACGCAUUUCUUGAGCAAAUAAAAACCAUAGAGUUUCACAGCAUUCCGAUGUCGUACCGUGGAGAAUAAAUGAGCCUGGUUUUGGAAACUCUUUAGAAAAGCUGAAUCCUCUGUUUUAGAAUGGUAAAGCUACUUUAAAGCAACAACUUCUCCAUCUCGUAGCUUUGCCUUGUAAACACCGUCAUAACCUCUAUAGUUCCAAUGCAUUAUUUGAUAUGAAAAUCUUCUUUUGCAUUAAUCAAAUCUUCAUGCAAAAUUUUACCAUCAUAAUUCUACACUUAAAAUGCAUCUUCAUUCUUGGUAGCUCUUGACUUGAGUUUUAGACUUUCAUUCUUAUGUUUAAAAAGUAAAAUGAAUCCAAAUAUUAUGAAGGCGAGAACUAAAGCGAGAGGAAGAAAAAUUUUAUGAAUGAACCCUAUAAACCUAAUAUCACUGCUUCCAUACAUUGAACAUAGUUUUUAUUUGCCUAGUACCCGUCUAAGUUCUAUUGUAGCGUUAAUAAGAUCUACAAGAUUUCCUAAACCACUCCCAUAAAACACAAAUAUUUUUAAGCUGUAAAGUUGGGAAUUCUGCCACUAUGAUUUUUGAGUAAAAUGCGGGGGGUUCCAAAUGUUUGAACUAAACUUUGUGAAAGGUUUGUGCUGAUGAAUCAUAUAACAAAUUUCUUAUAUACACAAUUGAUGGCUAUACUAUCACAUUCUUUUCCGUCAAGAAAAAGCAAGAUUAGACACUUAACCAUUAGUGCUUAUAAGAGACAGAAGUUGUCUGAAAAAGCAGAUUCCCUUGUUGGAUAAUCUUUGAAAAACUUAUACAACGCUUGCAUGGGAAACUUUCUUUAUGUUCAAUGGAUUGAAUAAGAUUUUGAUGUUAUCUUAAAGUUCAAGAAAGGUGCGAGAGUUCUUUCACCACUUUCCCUCAAAUUAAUAAACAGCAUGAUUGUUAUUCCAUAUACGUGUACAACUGAUAUCAUAUCUUUAUUCUUUUUUUCUUUUUUUUUGUAAAUCAUCCGUGUCCCGCAACCACAUUGGGUCUCGACUAAUCCAGAUUCGGGGUGUAGUAAUAGUUAAAGCUCUUUACCCCUCCCAAAUGGUGUGUUUAGUGGGGAUCGAACUCGAGAGCUCUUCCCACAAACUCAGUCUACGCUGCCAACUGAGCCACAACAAUUUGGUGUUAUCAUAUCUUUAUUAAGCUUUAAACUAACCAUAUUUUCUUUUGAAUUUCAAUGUGAUUUUUUUAGGCAAAUAAUUUGAUUAUGCGAUAAGUUCGCCUAUGACUACACAUCUCACAUAAUCAAAGGGGAUUAAUGUUACUAUCCAAAAAUCAAUAUUAGGUCUAAGGAUCCAAUUCAGCCUAUCUGACUUAGGCAUGGGAUGUGUUACAUACUUCUCAGAAUUCACGUCAGGCACUACCUGAUGGAGACAUGCAAGGAACACAUGGUGUUUAGUCAGACUAUUUAGUAUAUUCUGCGGCAAUGGCUAUUCUUACAGUCUAAAUAUAGUAAAGUGGUGGCAAUAAAAUAUUACCAACCGAUUUUGAUAAAACAAAUUAUUUAUUAAAAUAAAUCAAUUUUAACAAAUAAACUAUUAUUUUAAAGCCCAUCAAUUUUGAUAAAACAAAAUAAAUUAUUUUUUAAAACCAACCAUAAUUGACAUUUUAGGCUUGGCUUGCCUAUAAAUAGGGGGGUUGAGAGCAUAGAGAGAUCAUGAAUUGAGAGAGUAUUUUGAAAAUUUUAAGUUCUCAAUUUAGUAAUUUCUAAUUUGUGAGAUAUGGUGUAUUGGAGUGUUGGGUUGUAAGAUUAAAUACUGCAAUACUUGUAACUUUACAUAACUAGUAAAAUAUUUUCUCUCAUCUUCUCCCAUAGAUGUGUGCUAAAAGCUAAACCAUAUAACUUUUCUGUGUCUCCUGUGUUAUAUUUAUUUCUCAAUUUCAUUUUAUUCAUCUAUUUACUUCACUCAUCAAUUCACUAAUAGUGAUAUUAGAAGCCAUCAAUCACAAUUACUCGAAUUAGAGAUACCAUUUACACAUACAAUACUAUUCACAUAUAUGAUACUAUUCAUAUGUAUGAUACUAUUCACAUACACGUUACUAUUCACAAUAGGAGUGAUUGAAGGCCAAAAUUGAGUAAUUGUAUGGUUUUGUACAUAUUUAGGAAAGUUUUGUUACUAAGACGAUGAGACUCCAAGGAGUUUGGGUUUUUAGUUGAACCAUUGUGACCUCCAAUCUAUCCUUGGAACUAUCUUGUUGUGCAAUUUUGCAUAUACUAGCAUUUCGACUAUUCAAGCCAAAGUCAAAGUUGCAACAAGCACUUAUUUGCGCCAUAUCAAUGCUUGAAUUCACUUUUGGACCUUACUCUUUGAAUCACACAAUAAAAUCAAGCGAAUUGCAGAUCAAUUAGUUUGAAUUUCUAUUCAAUCUCAAUUUUACUUCAAUCAAGAAAAAGUCUAUUCUUCUUACACGUGGCUUGGUGAAAUUUCUGCCUUAAACAUUUGAAUAGAAAUUCGGACUAAUUGGUUUGCAAUCUGCUUGAUUCUGUUUUAUGGUUUGAAAAGGAAGGUUUAAAAGAAUAUUCAGGCAUUGAUAUGGCCCAAAUAAGCUCUUGUUGAAACUUUGACUUCGGCUUGAAUAGUCGCAAGUGAUAGUAUGUAUGAAAUUACACAUUAAGAAAGUUUCGAGGAAAGACUAGAGAGACCACAAUAAUCUAACUUAAAACACAAACUCUUAUAGCCUUGGUAACAAAACUUUCCUAAAUUUGUACAAAACCAUACGGUUACUCCACUCUGGCCUUUAAUGAUUCUUGCUGAGAAUAGUACUAUAUACAUGAAUAGUAUCAUAUAUGUGAAUAAUACCGUAUGUGUCAACAACAUCGUUAGUUCGAAUUAUUGCAAUCAACGGCUUCUAAUACCACUGUUAGUGAAUUCAUGAGUGAAGUAGAUACACGGCUAAAAUGAAAUUGCAAAAUAAAUAUAACACAGGAGACAUAAAAAUUUACAUGGUUCAGCUUACUCACACACACACACACACAUGAACUUAAAGUUCUCAAAAUCCUCUCUCAAAUCAUGAUCUCUCCAUGCUCUCAACUCACCUAUUUAUAGGGCAAGCCAAGCCUAAAAAUGUCAAUUUUAGUUGGUUUUAAAAAAUAACUUGUUUUGUUUUUAUCAAAAUUGGUGGGCUUUAAAAUAAUAAUCUAUUUGUUAAAUUAAUUUAUUUUAAUAAAAUAAUUUGCUUUGUCAAAAUUAAUCGGUAAUAUUUUAUUGCCACCACUUUACUGUCUUUAGGUUGUAAGAAUAGACACAACCGCAGAAUGUCCUGAACAGCUAGUCUAACAAAAACCAUGUUCUCCUCGUACGUUUCUGUCAGUUAGUGCCCGGUGCGAACUCUGAGAAGCAUAUGAUACAUCUUAGGCCUGAGCUUGAUAGGCUGAAUUGGGUCAUUGGGCCUAAUAUUGAUUUUUAGAUAGUAACAACCUUUUACUGAAUAAGCUAUUAAAUACGUCCGAUAGGCGAUCGACAAUUUAUGAAUUAUAGAAACUGAUAUGUCAGCAAAUCAUUGCUUGGAUGAUGUACAUGGGCGCACUUCCAAAUCGAAUCAAACUUAUGCUAAAUGAGUUUUUCAAGCCAUCAAAAUGGGCCCCUUACAAAAAUUUUUACAGGAACAAAUUUUGAAAGCUUGUAAGAGGCAAUUCUUCAAACAAGAAGACUGCAUAAUGAUUUAAAAUUUAUAAUACAUUAGUACAAUGGAUACGAACUUUAAAUUUAUAAUUGAUAUGAUGUUUUGCAAUGACAACGAAGUACCAAUUAAACACAAACUUUUGCCAUAAAGCAUGAAAGCAAUGAAACUAGACAUGGAAUAAGGAAGCAGAACUGAACUGUAAAGCCAUCAUAGCGAAAAAUUGAAACUGCAGGCAAUUUAAUUAAAUUACCUUAAGAUUGUUGGAUUCCAGUAGACUGAAAGUAAUGCGCGCAGUUUUUUGAGCAACAAAAUGGCGCGCCUCAAGAGUUAAGCUGUAGUAAGGGUAAAAUUGGUAGUUCAAUUACAGAUACGACGUCGUGCUUUCGACAUUAAGCAGACCUAUGAUGUUUUAAUUUCGAAUUUAGUUCGUUUUCUUAAGUAUCUUACGUUUUAUCCCCUAGUUUAAACUUUAAAGAUUGUUUACUUUCUUUUUUAGUGAGGUUAUACAAACAAGCAUUGAAUGUAUAAUACUAUAAUGUGUAGUUGAAUUUAAUAUAACUAUUAUUUAUAUAGAAAAUUUUGAAAAUAAAUACAUAUAUGUCAUGAGUAGUGCUACACAUCCUAAAUUAUUUAUUUCAAAUAAUUAUUUCAAAUUAUGUGGUAUUUAUUAAUUGGUUAAUGAGGAUAAUACAAUUAAUUCACUUGAAUCUUGUAAAAAAUUACCAACCAAUCAAUCAAUGACACACCAUUUGGGAUGAAAUUUGGGAUUGAAUAUUUGUAAUGUCUAUCAUUAUUGAUAUGUCAUAAUAUUAUUUACUUAUUUUAUAACAUAUUGAAGAAUAUUCUUGAAAUUUUAUGUUAUACAAUUGAUAGUUACUAAAGUAGUUAUUAAAUUUCAUAAAAUUAAAAUCUCACUUUUUCCCAUACGAAAAAAAGGACAACUACACCUCAAGAUUUGCGGAAAUUGUCACAAAGAUCCUCAAGUUUUUAAUAAGGGACACCAAGAUGUCGUUUGAGCAUAAUACCUUUUGACUUUAUAAACUCUAAAUAAAUUGUCCUUAAAAUUUUAUAACAAAUAAAAAUUUGACAUUGCAAUAAAUGUAAUAAUAUAUCAAAUUUAAAAUAAUUUUAAUAUUUAAUUUUUUUAUAUUCUACAAUAUAUUAGAACUAUUUUAUUAUAUUAAAGUAAUUUUUAAUAAUAAAUAGAAACAUAAUAUUAAAAUAUAUUAACUAAUUUAAAUUAAAAUUAUUUUGAAUAUAAUGUAAAAAUAGUUUUAACUUUAGUAAUUGGUAGAUAUUUUGUUAAUUGUAAAAUAUAUUUAACCCAAAGAUUUAUUUAAAGUCUUUAUAAAAGAUAAAAAUAUAUUAUUAAAAUAAAUAUAAUAAUUUAAAAUUUUAAUAUUAUUUUAAAUGUUAAAAAUAGUUUAAUAUUAUUAGUAUACCAAAUAAAUUAUAUUAUUUAUAUUAAAUUUGUAUUAAUUAAAAAAAUUAAAGUUAAUUUUCUAAUUCUUAUAUUCAAAGGAUAUUAUAUAUGAUAAAAAGAAUAUUUUGGAGUCCCUUUUUAAAAACUUAUAUGUUAUUGUGACCAUUUCUUUAUCAUAGUUAAUUGUGGGCACAUGCAAUAACAUGGGAACUUUUCCUAAUUUCAUAUUAAAACGAGAAGUGAGGAUCUUUAUCCUCGUAAAAUUCUAGAUUGAAUACCUUAAAACACCUGUUACCAUAAGCAUGCAUUUAAUUUUGAUCAGGAUUAAUUCGCUCAUGAUUUAAUAUUGCAAUGAGUGAAAUUUUAAGCGAAAAUUGAUAAUUAAUAAGUUAUAAAAAAUUAGAUAUAGCUCAUAAAUUAUUACUAAAAGAGAGAGUUUUUUAUAUAAAUAUAUAUAUAUUAACUGGAAAAUUAAUUUGUGUGUAUAUGCAUUAGAUUCAUGGGUGGAAGGAGAAGUACAAUAAGAAAGAAAGAACGUUCAUCAUCGUCACGCUCAGAGGGCUUGAGAAGAAAAUGGGAGGAAAUGAAUCUUGAUAUUCUUGAGAGGUGUGCUGUGCCGCUCAUGGCAAUUAUUGCUGUUGGCUGUGACCACGGAUCAGAAUCAUGUGUUGGCAAUUCUUUGGACCUUUCAUGUUAGCUUUUGACGUGUAGUGAAUCUUUUAUGUUUAUUGGUUUUUCAUGCUUUGCUUAAUGAUUGUUGGUCAUGUUCUCCUAGUUGUCGAACUUGCUUUUUUUUUUUUUUAAUUUUUUAUUUUCUCACAAGUGUUUACAGAUAAUCCACAAGUUUAGUCCAAUAAUUGGUAAUAUCAGCCACUAUUGACCACGAGUAAUUAGAUUAACGAAUAAUUGAAUAUUAGGUUAUUAUUAUUUUACUA
RNAcentral lists this long non-coding RNA (34838 nucleotides) under Citrus x clementina. RNAcentral's name for it is "Citrus clementina (C. clementina) long non-coding RNA (CCLE_LNC001884)". Lineage: Eukaryota; Viridiplantae; Streptophyta; Magnoliopsida; Sapindales; Rutaceae. The record is from RNAcentral.